UGGGGAAUAUUGGACAAUGGGCGCAAGCCUGAUCCAGCCAUGCCGCGUGAGUGAUGACGGCCUUAGGGUUGUAAAGCUCUUUCGCCAGGGACGAUAAUGACGGUACCUGGAUAAGAAGCCCCGGCUAACUUCGUGCCAGCAGCCGCGGUAAUACGAAGGGGGCUAGCGUUGUUCGGAAUUACUGGGCGUAAAGCGCGUGUAGGCGGGUCUUUAAGUCAGGGGUGAAAUGCCAAGGCUCAACCUUGGAACUGCCUUUGAUACUGGAGAUCUUGAGUCCGGGAGAGGUGAGUGGAACUGCGAGUGUAGAGGUGAAAUUCGUAGAUAUUCGCAAGAACACCAGUGGCGAAGGCGGCUCACUGGCCCGGAACUGACGCUGAGACGCGAAAGCGUGGGGAGCAAACA
This 402-nucleotide ribosomal RNA is filed under the name uncultured prokaryote. RNAcentral describes it as "bacterial SSU rRNA". It matches the Rfam family "Bacterial small subunit ribosomal RNA", at positions 355 to 774 of the family's 1533-position model. The record is from RNAcentral.